CCUACGGGUGGCAGCAGUGGGGGAUAUUGCACAAUGGGGGGAACCCUGAUGCAGCGACGCCGCGUGGGUGAAGGAGUGCUUCGGCAUGUAAAGCCCUAUCGGCAGGGAAGAAGCAAGACGGUACCUGACUAAGAAGCCACGGCUAACUACGUGCCAGCAGCCGAGGUAAUACGUAGGGGGCGAGCGUUAUCCGGAUUCACUGGGUGUAAAGGGAGCGUAGACGGCCAUGCAAGCCAGGGGGGAAAGCCCGGGGCCCAACCCCGGGACUGCCCUUGGAACUGUGCGGCUAGAGUGCGGGAGGGGCAGGCGGAAUUCCUGGUGUAGCGGUGAAAUGCGUAGAUAUCAGGAGGAACACCGGCGGCGAAGGCGGCCUGCUGGACUGCGACUGACGUUGAGGCUCGAAAGCGUGGGGAGCGAACAGGAUUAGAUACCCUUGUAGUC
Molecule: ribosomal RNA, 441 nt
Filed under: uncultured bacterium
Lineage: Bacteria
Description: partial 16S ribosomal RNA
Rfam family: Bacterial small subunit ribosomal RNA
Source: RNAcentral